This 503-nucleotide unclassified non-coding RNA is filed under the name Hevea brasiliensis (rubber tree). Lineage: Eukaryota; Viridiplantae; Streptophyta; Magnoliopsida; Malpighiales; Euphorbiaceae. The record is from RNAcentral.
GUUGGUUGAAGAAAAGACUUUUGCCAUUCUGUAUCCUACUUGCUGGAAAUGGGAUUGGUUAUCACUGAAUAUCUUUAUCUUGUUUAUUUUAAUUUCGUUAAUCCCUAUCAGUGAUGUAAUUGAUACUGCAUAUUACUUCUGUAUAGUUAUCUUGUGUUUCCUUUUCUAUUUACUACUCUCCUGUUUCCUGUAUCUUAUAUUAGAUUUGACAUGUGGUGACUGGUAAGUGUGCCUUUAUAAUGUGUUGCAAUUAAUGAGAUCUUGUCUAUUUUGACUUUCUUUUUAUUAGCAUGUCUUAUAGUUUUUAGCAGCCAAUUUUCCAGUUUAUAUUUCAAAUUUGAGAUUUUUUUUUGGCUAAGGAAUUAGUUGGUAGUUGUAUUAGGAUGUUAAUUUCACUACGAGUUUUGACUCCUUAACCAUUAGUGCUUGAUUGGGCAUGUCUGGGGCAGCGAAGCUGUGUUCUUGAUGACAGUUAUUGCUUUUCAAGGAUACCAAUUGAAGGC